Molecule: RNA transcript, 2965 nt
Organism: Zingiber officinale
Lineage: Eukaryota; Viridiplantae; Streptophyta; Magnoliopsida; Zingiberales; Zingiberaceae
Exons: 8
Source: RefSeq, a predicted model, not a curated record
ACAACACCCAAAAUUACCCUAUACGUUCCCGAUAUAUCUCCCUCCCCCUCUUCUUACUCCCGUGAUUUCCAAUUCUGCCAAAGUGUUCGUCGCUGCCGCUGUGUCGUCGAUCGCUGUCAGAUUCAUCCCGUCGCUGACGACCAGCCUUCAACCUCCGCCUCCUUCCAGUUACACAGCCAGGAGAACGAUCGUAUCCUCCCAGGUAACUUUUGAAAAUGACAAAUAAAAGAAUGCGAAAGUUAAUCCAAAAUAGCCAAAGACGAUCUAGGAGAGAAGAAUCAAGUAACAGAAGAGUUGAUGAUGAAAAUGAAUCACAAUACACAACAUCCCAUUCACCAUUGAAGAUACAAAAUGAGCAGGUUAAUGAACAAGGUGAAAAAUAUUUUUGGAUAUGAACAGUAAAUUAUUUUUGCAACACUAAGUGCAAAUUACUUUUUUUUUUUUCAGUUGAAAAUGAGGUCAUGCCUUCAUCCCAAAGUCAGCAAAGAAAACGUGGCAAGACUAUCAUGAGAGAUAUUCAUGCAUUACAUCCCGAUCAUGUGCUCGUAGUUGAAUUCAAUGAAAGGGGGCAACCUUUGGUGAUCUACAACCGACGCUUGCAAAUUUUAUUGGGACUAUUGCACAGAAUGGACUUAUGUUGCCUCUACACUUUUUUGAUUGGAGAAAAAUGCCGACAAAUUGAUUGAAUGAUGCAUGGAAACUUGUUACUGUACGUUUCUAUAUCCCCAAUCACCAUAGAAGAGUUAUAAUGCAAAUGAUGGGGGACGCAUGGAGACGGUGGAGGACUAAAGUGAAAGCUACAUCUUAUGAUUCAAAUAUUCCACUAGAAGAGCUUGUUGCAAUACAACCCAUUCCUCAUGGAUUAACACCUCAAACUUGGGAAGUUUUAUGUAACUAUUGGAAGUCUACUGAGAAAACUUCAAAAAUCAAUAGAGAAAAUACAAAAAAAAAAAGGGACUCAUGCACAGGGACACACUAAUAUUCCGUCAUUGGAGUAUAAAUUUUCUCAAGAGAAUGGUAGAAAAUCAAGUCGUAUUGAAAUACAACAAUUGAGUCGGAGAAGUAGAAAGAAAGGAGGUGCCGCUAUUGACGAUGAGGUAAUACGAACUGAGAAUUUACUUAAAGAGGCUGUAGAUCGUCUCCUCAAAGAUAAACCUGAAGGAACACAACCACUGGAAGUCCAUGAGGAGGCAUUUCGUGAGGUUUUUGGACCUGAGCAUUCUGGUGGGGUACGAUGUUUAGGAGCUGGUGCGCUGCCUAGCCAAGUGCUCCCAGAGCAAUGUAAACGCAGCUCAAUAUAUUGGCAAGAUUAUCACUCAAAUUCAAAUUUGACAGACAAAUUUAAGGAAAUGAGAGAGAAAAUUAAAGAUAUGGAGUUGCGAGAUGCACAACGACAAACGGAAAUAGAGCAGAUGAAAAAACAAAUGCAAGAAAAUGAUCAGUUUCAAAAUUUUGCACGAGUAAUGUUAAGUAUGAUGUCGGGAAAUGUUGGGGGCUCUCGUGGACCCGAAUUAUUACCGACACAAAUGAUAGCUAUGUUUGCAAAUAUUAUGCAACAACAAGUUCCAUCCACUAUGGAAGAAGAUAGGUGUAGAUCCUCCUUAUCAUCAGAAUCAGAUAAUAACUAGAGAGGUUGGUUUUUUUAAUUACAAAUGUUCUUAUUAGAGUAUUUUUGACUUUUUUUUUUUUCAAAUCUAUGUUUAAAAUAAAUUAAUUCAUAAUUCUAGGCAUAUGAGUUUUUUUAUACUAUUCUUGCAUGCUUGUUCCUCUGAAUCUUACAUUUCAAUAAUGCCACCUUGAGAGAGGUCCCCCAUGAGCGGCAUGAUCAGUUAGCCUUUUAUCUUCAGGGCCAUUUCCCCCUUCACAAAAUUAUUGUUCUAUCUGCACCACUUAAAGGUUGUUGCUAGCUUGAUGCAUGUGUUGUAACUUAUCAGUGUGACCCAGCACCAACCUCGCACAUUCUUAUCUUGCAUUAACAUCACACACACACACACACACACACACACACACACAUAUAUAUAUAUAUAUAUAUAUAUAUAUAUAUAUAUAUAUAUAUAUAUAUAUAUAUAUAUAUAUAUAAAUAUAGCUACAGUCACUUUCAUGCUCCAUUAGGAGGCUGGGGAGCUCCCAUGUGGCACAACCCAUACGAUAGAGCAUUUAUGGAAGGAUGGAUGGACGAAUCAUUAAUUAAUCAACCUCUUAGCUUCCUUCUAGCUCCCAAUUCAUGUUGUCAAUAUCAGGGCACAAGAAGCUGUUGUAUCAACCCUACUGGUGCGUGAACGGUUCAUACUUCCAAGGGUACCAAGACCCCACUCUGACUCUCUCAUAUGUUCAUAUACACUACUAACCUAAUCCUAGAGCUAGCCUUCCCAAGAUUUAGGUAGUUUUAUGUAUUACUCCUAAUUCACUUCCAAGUGAAUCCUUCAUAAGUAAUUCAAGUUCUAUAUUGCCGAAUGAGUUUCCACAUGUUUGAGCUGUAAUUGUUUAUUGGAUUCUAACCAAUGACCUUUUUUUUCUAUCAGCUAUCUAUAUUGUUACGAUUAUUACUUUUUUUUGUAUUUGCAUGUUGUUUAGUGUCGAUAAUUCGAAUGGUAUUUUAUUAAUGCAUUUUAUUAAGACUCUGCCACUUUCUAAGGUACAAGCUUUGGUUAAAUAUUUUUUUCAUUAUAUAUUAAAAUAUGUUGAUAGAAUAUAAUUUGGUGGUUCUAUUGAAAGUUGCUAUUGAAGGUUGGAGCAAAUGUCUUUGUUGCUUGAAGCAAAUGCCUUUUGUCGUUUGGAGCAUGUCUUUUGUCGUUUGGAGCACAUGUCUUUUGAUGUUUUUUUGGUGGAGAAAAUUUGUUAUUGAAAGUUGUAUAUAUUUUGGAGAUUGAAGAAAAUAUUAUAUUUGUGUUAUAGUGUGGAGUUAAAUGUUAUAUGUUAUGAAUGUUUUGAAAUGAAAUACAAAUUGUAUGUGCUGAUUUGGUAA